UACGAAGGGGGCUAGCGUUGCUCGGAAUCACUGGGCGUAAAGCGCACGUAGGCGGAUUCUUAAGUCAGGGGUGAAAUCCUGGAGCUCAACUCCAGAACUGCCUUUGAUACUGGGAAGCUUGAGUCCGGGAGAGGUGAGUGGAACUCCGAGUGUAGAGGUGAAAUUCGUAGAUAUUCGGAAGAACACCAGUGGCGAAGGCGGCUCACUGGCCCGGUACUGACGCUGAGGUGCGAAAGCGUGGGGAGCAAACAGG
RNAcentral lists this ribosomal RNA (253 nucleotides) under uncultured bacterium. RNAcentral's name for it is "partial 16S ribosomal RNA". It matches the Rfam family "Bacterial small subunit ribosomal RNA", at positions 524 to 776 of the family's 1533-position model. The record is from RNAcentral.